GACGAACGCUGGCGGCGUGCCUAAUACAUGCAAGUAGAACGCACAGUUUAUACCGUAGCUUGCUACACCAUAGACUGUGAGUUGCGAACGGGUGAGUAACGCGUAGGUAACCUGCCUGGUAGCGGGGGAUAACUAUUGGAAACGAUAGCUAAUACCGCAUAAUAUUAAUUAUUGCAUGAUAAUUAAUUGAAAGGUGCAAUUGCACCACUACCAGAUGGACCUGCUGUGUAUUAGCUAGUAGGUGAGGUAACGGCUCAACUAGGCGACGAUACAUAGCCGACCAGAGAGGGUGAUCGGCAACACUGGGACUGAGAAACGGCCCAGACUCCUACGGGAGGCAGCAGUAGGGAAUCUUCGGCAAUCGACGAAAGUCUGACCGAGCAACGCCGCGUGAGUGAAGAAGGUUUUCGGAUCGUAAAGCUCUGUUGUAAGAGAAGAACGGGUGUGAGAGUGGAAAGUUCACACUGUGACGGUAUCUUACCAGAAAGGGACGGCUAACUACGUG
RNAcentral lists this ribosomal RNA (505 nucleotides) under uncultured bacterium. Its description in RNAcentral is "partial 16S ribosomal RNA". It matches the Rfam family "Bacterial small subunit ribosomal RNA", at positions 28 to 507 of the family's 1533-position model. The record is from RNAcentral.